UUUAAACUGAUGAUAAAAUGUCACUGACAUUCUGAUCCAAUCUAUUAUUGAGCGGAUCGGGAUAAAAAGGAUGUUCGCAUUUGCGAGGCAUUUGUCUGAUUAAAGU
RNAcentral lists this small nucleolar RNA (106 nucleotides) under Rhagoletis pomonella (apple maggot). RNAcentral's name for it is "small nucleolar RNA Me28S-Am2589". It matches the Rfam family "Small nucleolar RNA Me28S-Am2589". From Rfam's summary of the family: Me28S-Am2589 is a member of the C/D class of snoRNA which contain the C (UGAUGA) and D (CUGA) box motifs. This family directs 2'-O-methylation of 28S A-2589. Lineage: Eukaryota; Metazoa; Arthropoda; Insecta; Diptera; Tephritidae. The record is from RNAcentral.